CCGACGGUGAGGGGUGAAAGCUCGGGUCACGCCGACGGUGAGGGGUGAAAGCUCGGGUCACGAACCGGAUUAGAUACCCGGGUAGUCCGAGCUGUAAACGAUGUCUGCUAGGUGUGCCACAGGCUACGAGCCUGUGGUGUGCCGUAGGGAAGCCGUGAAGCAGACCGCCUGGGAAGUACGUCCGCAAGGAUGAAACUUAAAGGAAUUGGCGGGGGAGCACUACAACCGGAGGAGCCUGCGGUUUAAUUGGACUCAACGCCGGACAUCUCACCAGCAUCGACAGUAGCAAUGAAAAUCAGUGUGAUGAGCUUAUCGGAGCUACUGAGAGGAGGUGCAUGGCCGCCGUCAGCUCGUACCGUGAGGCGUCCUGUUAAGUCAGGCGACGAGCGAGACCCGCACUCCUAAUUGCCAGCAACACCCUUGUGGUGGUUGGGUACAUUAGGAGGACUGCCAGUGCCAAACUGGAGGAAGGAACGGGCAACGGUAGGUCCGCAUGCCCCGAA
Molecule: ribosomal RNA, 503 nt
Filed under: uncultured Natronococcus sp.
Lineage: Archaea; Methanobacteriati; Methanobacteriota; Halobacteria; Halobacteriales; Natrialbaceae
Description: bacterial SSU rRNA
Rfam family: Archaeal small subunit ribosomal RNA
Source: RNAcentral